UACGAAGGGGGCUAGCGUUGCUCGGAAUUACUGGGCGUAAAGGGCUCGUAGGUGGCCAACUAAGUCAGACGUGAAAUCCCCAGGCUUAACCUGGGAACUGCGUCUGAUACUGGAUGGCUUGAAUUCGGGAGAGGGAUGCAGAAUUCCAGGUGUAGCGGUGAAAUGCGUAGAUAUCUGGAGGAAUACCGGUGGCGAAGGCGGCAUCCUGGACCGAGAUUGACACUGAUGAGCGAAAGCCAGGGGAGCAAACGGG
This 253-nucleotide ribosomal RNA is filed under the name uncultured bacterium. Its description in RNAcentral is "partial 16S ribosomal RNA". It matches the Rfam family "Bacterial small subunit ribosomal RNA", at positions 524 to 776 of the family's 1533-position model. The record is from RNAcentral.